RNAcentral lists this long non-coding RNA (300 nucleotides) under Ananas comosus (pineapple). Its description in RNAcentral is "long non-coding RNA (ACOM_LNC010551)". Lineage: Eukaryota; Viridiplantae; Streptophyta; Magnoliopsida; Poales; Bromeliaceae. The record is from RNAcentral.
UCUAACGGCCAAAAAAUCGAAAGUAUCAAAUCUUUUCUUAUAGUAUAGUAGCUCUACUCUCUCUCUCUCUCUCUCUCUCUCUCUCUCUCUCUCUAUAUAUAUAUAUAUAUAUGUUUGGUGUUAUAUUUGAAAUCAUCUUUUAAAUUUUUAGAUUUAAUAUAAUAUAUUUUUGAAAUAUGAUAAAGAAAAAUAAUUAUUUCGGAUUGGGAUUUUCGAAUUUGGAUUCGGAUUAGGAUUUAAAUAUGGACUUUUAAAAUCUGUGGAAUUCACGUUUGGAUUUGGAUUUCGGGUUUGCAGUUU